UGCAGUCGAGCGCACUCUUCGGAGUGAGCGGCGGACGGGUUAGUAACGCGUGGGAACGUACCCAGAUCUACGGAAUAGCCUCGGGAAACUGAGAGUAAUACCGUAUACGCCCUUCGGGGGAAAGAUUUAUCGGAUUUGGAUCGGCCCGCGUUAGAUUAGAUAGUUGGUGAGGUAACGGCUCACCAAGUCUACGAUCUAUAGCUGGUUUUAGAGGAUGAUCAGCAACACUGGGACUGAGACACGGCCCAGACUCCUACGGGAGGCAGCAGUGGGGAAUCUUGGACAAUGGGCGCGAGCCUGAUCCAGCCAUGCCGCGUGAGUGAUGAAGGCCUUAGGGUCGUAAAGCUCUUUCGCCAGAGAUGAUAAUGACAGUAUCUGGUAAAGAAACCCCGGCUAACUCCGUGCCAGCAGCCGCGGUAAUACGGAGGGGGUUAGCGUUGUUCGGAAUUACUGGGCGUAAAGCGCGCGUAGGCGGACCAGAAAGUUAGGGGUGAAAUCCCGGGGCUCAACCCCGGAACUGCCUCUAAAACUCCUGAUCUAGAGUUCGAGAGAGGUGAGUGGAAUUCCGAGUGUAGAGGUGAAAUUCGUAGAUAUUCGGAGGAACACCAGUGGCGAAGGCGGCUCACUG
Molecule: ribosomal RNA, 628 nt
Filed under: uncultured bacterium
Lineage: Bacteria
Description: bacterial SSU rRNA
Rfam family: Bacterial small subunit ribosomal RNA
Source: RNAcentral